Molecule: ribosomal RNA, 487 nt
Filed under: uncultured soil bacterium
Lineage: Bacteria
Description: bacterial SSU rRNA
Rfam family: Bacterial small subunit ribosomal RNA
Source: RNAcentral
AGAUUGAACGCUGGCGGCAUGCCUUACACAUGCAAGUCGAACGGUAGAGUAGCAAUACUUGAGAGUGGCGAACGGGUGAGUAAUAUAUCGGAACGUGCCCAGUCGUGGGGGAUAACGUAGAGAAAUUUACGCUAAUACCGCAUACGAUCUAAGGAUGAAAGCGGGGGACCGUAAGGCCUCGCGCGAUUGGAGCGGCUGAUAUCAGAUUAGGUUGUUGGUGAGGUAAAAGCUCACCAAGCCGACGAUCUGUAGCUGGUUUGAGAGAACGACCAGCCACACUGGGACUGAGACACGGCCCAGACUCCUACGGGAGGCAGCAGUGGGAAUUUGGACAAUGGGCGAAAGCCUGAUCCAGCAAUGCCGCGUGCAGGAAGAAGGCCUUCGGGUUGUAAACUGCUUUUGUACGGACGAAACGGUCUGCUUUAAUACAGUGGCUAAUGACGGUACCGUAAGAAUAAGCACCGGCUAACUACGUGCCAGUAGCCGC